Molecule: long non-coding RNA, 411 nt
Organism: Cebus imitator (Panamanian white-faced capuchin)
Lineage: Eukaryota; Metazoa; Chordata; Mammalia; Primates; Cebidae
Exons: 2
Source: RefSeq, a predicted model, not a curated record
CCGUGGUUGCGGCAGCGCGCGCACUUGGGCGUGCGCUGCAGGGGCGCCCGCGGCGGCUGCGACACCGGGCCGCCCAUGUACAGUCUCAGCCUUCUCUAGGAAAGCAAGCCCUAAAGCACAACUGGAGGAAAUUUCGUAAGCUCUGGGAACAGGAAGCAGAGGUCGCCCGCAGCCCUGUAGGCCAGAGGCUAGGAAGUGAGGAGCUGGACGCGAGUCAUUUAACGCGCUGAGGUAUACAGGGCCACGAAUGACACCUUAUCUGAAAACUAUCGCGCUGAAACCUCCGGGUCUCUUGGAAACGUGGGGAUCAACGACUUUUUUCAAAACCAAAUUUCUUCCGAUUUUCUUCAAAUGGUCAGUGAAACCAAGGAGUAGAAAGAACUUGAGCAUGAAUAAAUUUUUAAAAGGAAA